Molecule: long non-coding RNA, 805 nt
Filed under: Rattus norvegicus (Norway rat)
Lineage: Eukaryota; Metazoa; Chordata; Mammalia; Rodentia; Muridae
Description: long non-coding RNA NONRATT020211
Source: RNAcentral
GAAACCCGGUGGCAUAUUCGACCACCACGUCCAGACAGCUGUGUGUGACUCGCGGGCCAAAUACAGGGAGGGCCGACGCCCUCGCGCGGUCAAGGAUAGCUAAGAAAAAGAUGGAUGAACAGAGUUUCUUUGGAGGGUUACUUCAUGUGUGCUAUGCUCCAGAAUUUGAGACAGUUGAAGAAACUAGAAAAAAAUUAGAAGAAAGAAAGGCUUAUAUUUCAAGAGUUACUAAAAACCAAGACUAUUAUGUGACCAAGAAGAAACCAGUUCCAGAGCAAAAAGGAACAAAAGAUUCUAGACAAGACUUCCAUGCACAUAUGCCUGGAUUUUGUACACCUGCUUUAAACACAUCUCCCAAGAAUCCUUCAGAGAACUCAAGUCCUUGUCUUCCUUACUCUUGUGAAUUCCCUUUAUGCUAUUUUGCCUCCAAAAGCCCAUGUUCACCUGGGGAGCACACGGACAAAGCGUCAGACUCCUGCAAUAGUGCUAGGAACCGUGGUGAACUGCAGAAGCACCGUGACCACAGUGCCUUUCCCCCAAAACUACAGAUGAACACUUACAAAACUUCCGUCCCUUGCUCUAGUGUGCAAGAGGCCAUUGCUACUUCACAGGCAGUUGGCAGAUUUAUGCCUAGGACAACACAGCUGCAGGAGAGGAAAAGACGGCGAGACUGUGAUCGUGAACUUGGAACUUUUCUUGAAACAAACAUAAGCAGUAACGAGGUUUUGAUUGGACCUAAGUUACCAGGUAUUCCCACAGUAGAUCUGCAGGAUGACUCCUUGAAUACAACGGCAAACUUAAUUCG